UUUUCCCCAUUAUUUCCUCUCUCUUCUUUCCCUCUCAUCACUCUCUCUUCUCUCUCUCCCAAGACUGUCACCGUCGCCCAUUGCCACCACCGGAAAUUGCCCACCGGCGGUGGUCGACCUCCAAUCCGCCCCAAAAUUUCACCAUAUAAUCUCCAACACCUCCUCUUUCCAUAUUUUAAAACCAAAUCCUAAAAAAAUCUUUCAAACUCCUUGAAUCUUAGAUCUAGAAAACUUUCCCGUCACUUUGUUGCCCAAAUUCUUGAAGCUCCAACCACUACCACCCCAAAAUACCUACAUCAAUGGAUAGAGCUCCUCAAGACCUAACUAUUGAUGUCAAUUCUACCCCAAAAAUCCAGCGACCAAAAUUAGGCCUAAUUCCGGCGACCUCCCGGAACACCCUUUUUGGCAUACCACCAUUUUUUCGGCCUUUUGAUGUGUAAAAUGGUAAAAUACUAUUCUUUUUCAUGGCUGAUUUUUUUAUUUUUAUUUUUAAUUUUUAUAUUUUAUUUUUGUCUAUUAUUAAUUAUUUUAGCAUUAGUUUUUUAUGUUUGAAAUGUUAAAUUUUCUAUUUUUGCACUUGUUGAAGUAGUAAAAUAGUUUUGUAUUGAUAAAAGUGAGGUAAUGAAAAAUACUUAAGAGUAUAUGGUACUUGUUUGGCUGUUUGUUUACUGCUUCGGGACUCUUUGAGUACAACACUCAAAAGUCAAAUUGUUUGGUAAGAAAAUGUAGACCUUAGGACAUUAUUAGACUAAAGUCUAUCAUUGAAUAGUGGAGAGCAGAUUUUGUUUGAAAUACUUGACAAGAUUUGAACUAGAAAGUCUGGCUUUUUGAAUUUAAGAGCAGAUUUUGUAGAAAAAUCUGUCAAAAAGAUUGAUUUUUAAUUUUUUUAAAUAGCUGGUUGUUUUGAUAUAUAGAGGGGGCAUAUUUUUUAAUUGCUUUGUCACAAAAACAAAAAAUAUCAGCAGUUGAACACAUGAAAAGUAAGCUGAAAUGGUGAGCUUUGGGAGUGAAUCUUAGAGUGCAAACUUUAAAAAAGUAUAAGUCCUCUUUAGAGUUCGUUUCUGGGUUCCCUCUCUAAGUUUUCGGGUUGUUUUAACACGGAUUUGCUGCUGGUUUUAUGUUGCUUUAGUUGCUGAACUACUGUUUAUUCUUUUGCUACCAGGUAAUCCUUUAAGACUCGUAAUAUACGUAUUUUCAGCAAUGGGAACAACUUAAANNNNNNNNNNNNNNNNNNNNNNNNNCAUGCUGCACCAUUUAAAUGUGUUUGAUGUGAUGAAUAGUUUGACAACAAAAGAGCUUGUAUGUUAUUGUUAGGUAUUAAGCAUGUGAUAAUGUGAAUAUAGUCCUUCAUAAUACUUGAAUAUUGAGUUGUAAGUUUUUGAAUGGGAUAUGUAAGUCGUUUAUGGAUUUUUUUAAGCAU
Molecule: long non-coding RNA, 1420 nt
Filed under: Nicotiana tabacum (common tobacco)
Lineage: Eukaryota; Viridiplantae; Streptophyta; Magnoliopsida; Solanales; Solanaceae
Description: long non-coding RNA (NTAB_LNC004922)
Source: RNAcentral